Molecule: non-coding RNA, 48 nt
Filed under: Trichobilharzia regenti
Lineage: Eukaryota; Metazoa; Platyhelminthes; Trematoda; Strigeidida; Schistosomatidae
Source: RNAcentral
AUCCAGAUGAGGAGUCCUAAAUAGGACGAAAUGCGCGUUAUCCUGGAU